GAUGAACGCUGGCGGCGUGCCUAAUACAUGCAAGUAGGACGCAGUUGCGAACGGGUGAGUAACGCGUAUGUAACUACCUAUUAGAGGGGGAUAACUAUUGGAAACGAUAGCUAAUACCGCAUACUAGUAGAUGGAACUGCGUUGUAUUAGCUAGUAGGUAGGGUAAUGGCUUACCUAGGCAACGAUACAUAGCGGCCCUGAGAGGAUGAUCGGCCACACUGGGACUGAGACACGGCCCAGACUCCUACGGGAGGCAGCAGUAGGGAAUCUUCGGCAAUGGGGGGAACCCUGACCGAGCAACGCCGCGUGAGUGAAGAAGGUUUUCGGAUCGUAAAACUCUGUUAUUAGGGAAGCGGUACCUAAUCAGAAAGCCACGGCUAACUACGUGCCAGCAGCCGCGGUAAUAC
Molecule: ribosomal RNA, 407 nt
Filed under: uncultured bacterium
Lineage: Bacteria
Description: partial 16S ribosomal RNA
Rfam family: Bacterial small subunit ribosomal RNA
Source: RNAcentral